This 595-nucleotide long non-coding RNA is filed under the name Homo sapiens (human). RNAcentral describes it as "HSALNT0132305". Lineage: Eukaryota; Metazoa; Chordata; Mammalia; Primates; Hominidae. The record is from RNAcentral.
UACAGCUCUGCUUUAACACCCACCUCCUAUAUGAACAAGGUCUCAAGGUCUUGCAAAGGUAACCUGUUGGAGCAAGCCUUGGUCUUUGCAAGCCAAGCAUAUUCAAGGGAUUUUACGAAGGGACUGUGUAUGCUGAUGUGGGUGAGGCUAAGGAAACAGACAAGAAAUAUUGAUGUCUCCAGGGACCCACACACACAUAAAGGGGGAUCCAGCAUUCCUUUAAGGCUGUACCUAAAAGCUGAGGGAGUAAUGUUUCCAGAACCUGGGUGAGAAUCGGAGCAAUAGGAGAAGAUGUCACCAUACAGGGAUGAAGCCCUGGGCAGAACCAUACUGAAGCAGGAAAUGCAGGAAACAAGGAUCUCUGCUGCUCUCCCCUCUAGAUUUGCAAUCCUCUGCCAGUUUCUUGCAUGGACUGAAACCAACUAGAUGCUGCGGAGCAGGAAACCCCAUGGGACAUGGGCUGUAAAAGUCAGCGUCCCAUAUUGUGAAGUGUGCAACAGCAGCAGAGACAGACAGAGAGUUAAUCCAGGGGCUUCCGAGGUGAUCUGGCAGCGUCAGUCUUCAGCCGCUAAGCUGAGAAGAUCUGGGAAGGAGU